CCUACGGGUGGCAGCAGUGAGGAAUAUUGGUCAAUGGGCGCGAGCCUGAACCAGCCAAGUAGCGUGAAGGAUGACUGCCCUACGGGUUGUCAACUUCUUUUAUAAAGGAAUAAAGUGAGGCACGUGUGCCUUUUUGUCUGUACUUUAUGAAUCACGAUCGGCUCACUACGUGCCAGCAGCCGCGGUAAUACGGAGGAUCCGAGCGUUAUCCGGAUUUAUUGGGUUUAAAGGGAGCGUAGAUGGGUUGUUAAGUCAGUUGUGAAAGUUUGCGGCUCAACCGUAAAAUUGCAAUUGAUACUGGCAGCCUGGAGUACAGUUGAGGUAGGCGGAAUUCGUGGUGUAGCGGUGAAAUGCGUAGAUAUCACGAAGAACUCCGAGUGCGAAGGCAGCCUACUAAACUGCCACUGACAUUGAGGCUCGAAAGUGUGGGUAUCAAACAGGAUUAGAUACCCUAGUAGUC
RNAcentral lists this ribosomal RNA (460 nucleotides) under uncultured bacterium. RNAcentral's name for it is "partial 16S ribosomal RNA". It matches the Rfam family "Bacterial small subunit ribosomal RNA", at positions 338 to 795 of the family's 1533-position model. The record is from RNAcentral.